RNAcentral lists this ribosomal RNA (468 nucleotides) under uncultured bacterium. RNAcentral's name for it is "partial 16S ribosomal RNA". It matches the Rfam family "Bacterial small subunit ribosomal RNA", at positions 28 to 507 of the family's 1533-position model. The record is from RNAcentral.
GACGAACGCUGGCGGCGUGCUUAACACAUGCAAGUCGAACGGAAAGGCCCUGCUUUUGUGGGGUGCUCGAGUGGCGAACGGGUGAGUAACACGUGAGUAACCUGCCCUUGACUUUGGGAUAACUUCAGGAAACUGGGGCUAAUACCGGAUAGGAGCUCCUGCUGCAUGGUGGGGGUUGGAAAGUUUCGGCGGUUGGGGAUGGACUCGCGGCUUAUCAGCUUGUUGGUGGGGUAGUUGCUUACCAAGGCUUUGACGGGUAGCCGGCCUGGGAGGGUGACCGGCCACCUUGGGACUGAGGUACGGACCAGACUCCUACGGGAGGCAGCAGUGGGGAAUAUUGCACAAUAGGCGGAAGCCUGAUGCAGCAACGCCGCGUGCGGGAUGACGGCCUUCGAGUUAUAAACCGCUUUCGCCUGUGACGAAGCGUGAGUGACGGUAAUGGGUAAAGAAGCACCGGCUAACUACGUG